CGAACGAGUUCUGAUUAUUGAAAGGUGCUUGCAUCUUGAUUUAAUUUUGAACGAGUGGCGGACGGGUGAGUAACACGUGGGUAACCUGCCCUUAAGUGGGGGAUAACAUUUGGAAACAGAUGCUAAUACCGCAUAAAUCCAAGAACCGCAUGGUUCUUGGCUGAAAGAUGGCGUAAGCUAUCGCUUUUGGAUGGACCCGCGGCGUAUUAGCUAGUUGGUGAGGUAACGGCUCACCAAGGCAAUGAUACGUAGCCGAACUGAGAGGUUGAUCGGCCACAUUGGGACUGAGACACGGCCCAAACUCCUACGGGAGGCAGCAGUAGGGAAUCUUCCACAAUGGACGCAAGUCUGAUGGAGCAACGCCGCGUGAGUGAAGAAGGCUUUCGGGUCGUAAAACUCUGUUGUUGGAGAAGAAUGGUCGGCAGAGUAACUGUUGUCGGCGUGACGGUAUCCAACCAGAAAGCCACGGCUAACUACGUGCCAGCAGCCGCGGUAAUACGUAGGUGGCAAGCGUUAUCCGGAUUUAUUGGGCGUAAAGCGAGCGCAGGCGGUUUUUUAAGUCUGAUGUGAAAGCCCUCGGCUUAACCGAGGAAGUGCAUCGGAAACUGGGAAACUUGAGUGCAGAAGAGGACAGUGGAACUCCAUGUGUAGCGGUGAAAUGCGUAGAUAUAUGGAAGAACACCAGUGGCGAAGGCGGCUGUCUGGUCUGUAACUGACGCUGAGGCUCGAAAGCAUGGGUAGCGAACAGGAUUAGAUACCCUGGUAGUCCAUGCCGUAAACGAUGAAUGCUAGGUGUUGGAGGGUUUCCGCCCUUCAGUGCCGCAGCUAACGCAUUAAGCAUUCCGCCUGGGGAGUACGACCGCAAGGUUGAAACUCAAAGGAAUUGACGGGGGCCCGCACAAGCGGUGGAGCAUGUGGUUUAAUUCGAAGCAACGCGAAGAACCUUACCAGGUCUUGACAUCUUUUGAUCACCUGAGAGAUCAGGUUUCCCCUUCGGGGGCAAAAUGACAGGUGGUGCAUGGUUGUCGUCAGCUCGUGUCGUGAGAUGUUGGGUUAAGUCCCGCAACGAGCGCAACCCUUAUGACUAGUUGCCAGCAUUUAGUUGGGCACUCUAGUAAGACUGCCGGUGACAAACCGGAGGAAGGUGGGGAUGACGUCAAAUCAUCAUGCCCCUUAUGACCUGGGCUACACACGUGCUACAAUGGAUGGUACAACGAGUUGCGAGACCGCGAGGUCAAGCUAAUCUCUUAAAGCCAUUCUCAGUUCGGACUGUAGGCUGCAACUCGCCUACACGAAGUCGGAAUCGCUAGUAAUCGCGGAUCAGCACGCCGCGGUGAAUACGUUCCCGGGCCUUGUACACACCGCCCGUCACACCAUGAGAGUUUGUAACACCCGAAGCCGGUGGCGUAACCCUUUUAGGGAGCGAGCCGUCUAAG
RNAcentral lists this ribosomal RNA (1436 nucleotides) under Lacticaseibacillus rhamnosus. RNAcentral's name for it is "bacterial SSU rRNA". It matches the Rfam family "Bacterial small subunit ribosomal RNA". Lineage: Bacteria; Bacillati; Bacillota; Bacilli; Lactobacillales; Lactobacillaceae. The record is from RNAcentral.